Long non-coding RNA from Cannabis sativa, 478 nucleotides. RefSeq lists it as uncharacterized. The record is from RefSeq and is a predicted model, not a curated record. The transcript is spliced from 3 exons. Lineage: Eukaryota; Viridiplantae; Streptophyta; Magnoliopsida; Rosales; Cannabaceae.
UUCCCUAGUUCCCUCUUUCUCUUUUGCCCUCCUUCUUCUUCUUCUUCUUCCUCUAUCUUCAUUUGUAGACCUGACCACCACCACCACCCAUGGCAACUCACCACCAUCGCAACCCAAUACCACCAUCUCAACCCAGCACCACCACCACAUGAACACCAACGAAGACCCAAAAACCCUGAAUCAGUCUCUCUGCACCCCUCUCCUUAGAUCAGUCUCUUUCUGGUGAAGAAGUCACUUUCACGGCGAGCUUUUUGGAGCCUUGGCAGGUACUACUGAGAGAGCUAUUGUUGGAAGUGAAGUAUAAGAAACCGGAGCAAGAUAGGUCCAUGGAACUCUUUCUCUUCAUUUUAUGGGCCAGGAGUGACAAAAAGAAGAAGAAUUCUUUCCCAAAAUUGGUUUCCGGGUAGAUUAUCAAUGGCCAUGUAGGCAAAAUAUCCCCAAAGAAGUGAAGUUGGUAUCAAUUUUAUUAGAGGUACGA